Molecule: non-coding RNA, 30 nt
Filed under: Cricetulus griseus (Chinese hamster)
Lineage: Eukaryota; Metazoa; Chordata; Mammalia; Rodentia; Cricetidae
Source: RNAcentral
AGAAAGCUGAGGGUAGAACUUAGUAGCAGA